AAUAAUUAUUUGAACUCUUCUAAUAUAACUAUAAAUUAAAAGUAACACCAGCUAUCAGAAAGAUCCCUUAUGCCUUCAUCAUCUGCCAAGGAUAUAGGACUGCAAGCUUGGAUGGGUGCAGAGAUUUCUCAUUAUGCCUCCUCCAUCUCCAUCUCUUACAAUAUUCAGCUAUCUAAAGACUUACUUGCAUUAAAGAUCAACGAAGACUUGCAACCACUCUCUUGGCACUUGAUUUUUUGGGGGUUUUAAAAGUAUAACCAUGAGUAUCUGAAUGAUGUGAAUGGAUGUUGAUUUGGGCAUCUAUGAAGCGAGGCAGACUGUGGACUGUUAUGUAAAUGUGUACAACUUUCAUGAUGUUUUGAUUCAAACUUCAUCUUGGUCAACAUACUCGAGGAAGCAUUUGAUACUUGGGGAUGAUUUGUGGCAUUUGGUGUUUUGGACAUUACGAGAUAUAUUGUACUUUUGUGGCAUAUUAGGGAUUUAAAU
Cryptomeria japonica (Japanese cedar) is the source of this 486-nucleotide long non-coding RNA. RefSeq lists it as uncharacterized. The record is from RefSeq and is a predicted model, not a curated record. NCBI's taxonomy places the organism in Eukaryota, Viridiplantae, Streptophyta, Pinopsida, Cupressales, Cupressaceae. The transcript has 3 exons.